AUUGAACGCUGGCGGCGGGCCUAAUACAUGCAAGUCGAGCGAUCGCAGGAGAAGGUUUCCUUUCUGAUGUUAGCGGCGGAGGGGUGAGUAACAUGUUUAGGACCUUGCUAUAAGACGGGGAUUACUGCGGGGAAACGGUGCUUAAACCGGCUAAUUAUUGGAACAUGAUGGUUCAAAAGUGAAAGACGGUCUUGCUUACGCUGAUAGAUGAAUCCGCGCUGCAUUAGCUAGUUGGUAAGGUAACGGCUUACCAAGGCAACGAUGCAUAGCAGACCUGAGAGGGUGAUCGGCCACACUGGAACUGAGACACGGUCCAGACUCCUACGGGAGGCAGCAGUAGGGAAUCUUGCGCAAUGGGCGAAAGCCUGACGGAGCAACGCCGCGUGAGUGAUGAAGGUCUUCGGAUCGUAAAACUCUGUUAGUAGGGAAGAACGUAUGUGUAAGAAAAUGUGAAAAUCUUGACGGUACCUAAUCAGAAAGCAACGGCUAACUACGUG
Molecule: ribosomal RNA, 497 nt
Filed under: uncultured bacterium
Lineage: Bacteria
Description: partial 16S ribosomal RNA
Rfam family: Bacterial small subunit ribosomal RNA
Source: RNAcentral